This 990-nucleotide long non-coding RNA is filed under the name Equus asinus (donkey). RNAcentral describes it as "lncRNA (ENSEASG00005033944.1)". The record is from RNAcentral. Lineage: Eukaryota; Metazoa; Chordata; Mammalia; Perissodactyla; Equidae.
CCUAAGUGUGACCGCGUGGAGGGGGAGCCUGAGGGCUGCCUCCUUCCUCUUCCAAGGUGAUGAAGAGACGAUGGUCUCGCAGCUCCACCCGCUGCCUGGUGACCAGAAAGGGCUGCCCUGCAGCCCGCCUUCUGCACCGUCCCUGCCCAGCUCAUUUCAGAGAAACUCGCCUGGAUUCUGCUCUGGACUCUUCCACACCACGCACUGGAGCCCCCGGCACCCUGGUCCAGAUCACGAGGCUCUCUCUGGAGCAAGGCUUCUCAGAGCACGGCCUGGAGCCCUCUGCAAACGGCUUGCUCAGAUCCAGGACGAGAUAGCGCAGAAACUGUCAGCAAGCAUUUAGACACUUUCAAAGCAAUUCGACGGUCACUGUAUGUCAGUUGAAUCUAAUAAAAAAUCGGGGUUUGUAUUUUGGAUGUCUCUUGUUUAUUUCAUUUUUUUCCCCAGCCGUUCUUCUGUGUUAUAUUUUACAACAGAAAUGGCCCGUCAUUGAUUAGGAAUUAAAAAGAAAACAACUGGCCCUCAACCACAGAGAGUGGGAGAAGCUCUGCCCCAGGUGUCUUUCCAUCUUGGUCUCAGCAACCUUCAUGGCAACAUAUUGCAUUAAAACGUGCACAGGAGGUGCAAAACGCCCCACUCCCCGGACCUCAGCAACGCACCUCACCCUGGUCACCUCCCCCACCCCAGCUGUCCGGCUGGGAGCCUGCCUCCUCCACCAAGCCCUGCCUGCCAUCCAGCUCACAGCCCUCUCUCCUCCACUUCCUGUCUCCACCACUCAUUUGGCAAUUUAGCUAAUAAAAAACUAAUAAUAAUUGAGUGCAAGUCUCUGUGCUAUGGAGCUAGACAAGCAACUCCUCGAGCAGGUCUCUGCCGUGUGGCCUCUUGUGGCGACUGUUCAUUCAGCCUUUGCUGCCGACCCAGGACUGCUUGUGUGUGUGGAAUCCGGCACUCCGACCUUCGAGGCUCCAAGUCCACUGCCCACACUUCUCG